GUGCCAAGGGGAGCUUGGCUGUUCACGGGCCUCACCUGCUAGCGAGAAGAUAGCUUGGCCGGGCGGCUGAUCUCACCUUGUAAUUCUGACACUGUGUCUCCCGGGCUUGUCGGCUUCAUGACUUGUGCCCAAAGUUUGAUUUCUCGCAGACCAGGAGGACCCAUUGGACCCCCGGGCUGGCUGCAGGGCCCACACCUGGGUUAGACCUCGCACAGGGACGCUGCUGCCACUGUAAUAAAGCGUGCCUACACGCUUCUGAAACUGGUGUAGGAACAACCUCAGUUCUGUGAAAGGCGGACGCAGCAGGACAGAAUCUCCGUGGACAUCUGUCUGGAGGAGCAAUUUUACUGCGACAUUUUAAAGAAACAAAUUUAAUUGAUUUCCAAGGGUGUCCAUCGCGCUUCCUUCACUGCCUUGAUCAUGUCGGGGUCACCACCUGCGGGGGUUUGUCCUGCAGACCCUGACUCAACGACGGAUGAAUAAUGUACACUGACACAGAUCUUAUGCUUGUCAGUCCUGCUGAGCAUCCAGGCCACUUACAGACUCCAAGAAGAGUCCUGUCAGCCACGGCUCUGACUUGUUGGCCCUCCCGGCAUUUAUUUAGCACACAUUUAAUGACAGAAGUCUCAGGCUGGAAACACUCUUUUUGUAGAACAUACAAAUGGACAUUUCUAAGCACAUUGAGGCCUAUAAUGAAAAAUCAAAUAUCCCACAAUGAAAACUAGAAGGAAGCUAUCUGUGAUAAUGCUUUGUGGUGUAUGGAUUCAUCUCACUGACUGAAACCUGAGUUUUGAUUCACCAGAAUCUAUGCAGGGACAUUUUUGUGCUCAUUGAGGCCUACUGUGAAAAACCAAACAUCAGGGGUGGAGCCAAAAAAGCCAAAUAGGAACAGCUCCAGUCUACAGCUCCCAGCAUGAGCCACACAGAAGAUGGAUGAUUUCUGCAUUUCCAACUGAGAAUCUAUGAAGGGACAUCAUUUCUGAGCCCAUUGAGACUUGUAGUGAAAAACCAAGCAUCCCCUGAUAAAUAGGUAGUAGAAACAAACUACCUAUGAAAAUGCUUUUUGAUUUGUGGAUUUAUCUCACAGUGUUAAAUUUUUGAUUUGAUUCAACUGGUUGAAAACAUUCUUUAUGUAGAAUCUAUGAAGAGACGUUUUUGAGCUUAUCGAGAUGUAAGGUUGAAAGCAUUCUUUUUGUAGAAUCUAUGAAAAGACAUUUCUGAGCUUAUUCUGGUUUAUAGAGUAAAACCGAAUAUCCUGAAAUAAAAA
RNAcentral lists this long non-coding RNA (1267 nucleotides) under Homo sapiens (human). RNAcentral describes it as "long intergenic non-protein coding RNA 662". Lineage: Eukaryota; Metazoa; Chordata; Mammalia; Primates; Hominidae. The record is from RNAcentral.